This 886-nucleotide long non-coding RNA is filed under the name Salmo salar (Atlantic salmon). Its description in RNAcentral is "lncRNA (ENSSSAG00000091354.1, ENSSSAG00000106944.1)". The record is from RNAcentral. Lineage: Eukaryota; Metazoa; Chordata; Actinopteri; Salmoniformes; Salmonidae.
AACACGUCAACCAAUCUCAACAGCCGCAGUGAGUGACAGCGCGUUUUACUUCCCCACUCUGCACAAGGGAGCUGUAGUUCAGGAGCAAUAGUUAUAAUCACAGAGUUUCUAAACUAUAUAUUUGGUUCUAUUCCUUUCAGGAUAUGUUGUUCUCUCAAGAACUGUAUUUACCAAGCCAACUGUUUAUUGUUGUUACAGUAGCAGGCAGCAAAGUUUUAGUUGACAGGCGGUUGUGUGCAUCUCUUUAUUUCAAUCACAUCUCUGAGGAUAGGCAGCACUGAAGCCAUUGGUGGCAAAUUGCAUACCAACAUUAGGAUGAGGAGGAGCACAAGACCAGUAAGGGUGAAGACCAACCACUGAUUCUGCCAGACCACAUCAACCCAAUCAUAAGGCACACCCCUCCUCCCCGUCUCAUCAACCAUGGCCAUCCGGCGUACACAGUGAGAUGCCUCUUGAGUCUUUGACCUCGGGGCAGGGGUUUCCAGUACCUGGUUGACUGGGAUGGUCAUGGCCCAGAGGAGAGGUGCUGGUCCCCGCUAAGGACAUCCUGGACCCGGCCCUCAUCGCCGACUUUCACCGCCGGCACCCCGGUCAACCAGGUAUUCGCCCAGUUUCACAGAUUAAAUAAAAUGUGGAACGACACACACGCUGCACUUUGGUCCUCUCAUUCCUACGACAGCCGUGGACAGAAUCUCCCACCACCAAAGGACCAAGCAGCGUGAUCAGGAGUGGACCUGGGAGGACAUUUUGAAUGGAAAGGGAUCCUGGACGUGGGAGGAGAUCCAGGCUGGAUGGGAUCGCCUCCCAUGGGAACAGGAGGAGGCAGCGAGAGCAGAACGGCAACGUUACGAGGAGCUAGCACGGCAACAACGGAAGCACGAGAGGC